UCCUACGGGACGCAGCAGUGAGGAAUAUUGGUCAAUGGGCGAGAGCCUGAACCAGCCAAGUCGCGUGAGGGAAGACGGUCCUAUGGAUUGUAAACCUCUUUUGCCGGGGAGCAAAAAGCGGCACGUGUACCGCAUCGAGAGUACCCGGAGAAAAAGCAUCGGCUAACUCCGUGCCAGCAGCCGCGGUAAUACGGAGGAUGCGAGCGUUAUCCGGAUUUAUUGGGUUUAAAGGGUGCGCAGGCGGCGA
Molecule: ribosomal RNA, 247 nt
Filed under: uncultured bacterium
Lineage: Bacteria
Description: partial 16S ribosomal RNA
Rfam family: Bacterial small subunit ribosomal RNA
Source: RNAcentral